This is a long non-coding RNA of Carassius gibelio (silver crucian carp), 1678 nucleotides long. RefSeq lists it as uncharacterized. The transcript is spliced from 3 exons. The record is from RefSeq and is a predicted model, not a curated record. Lineage: Eukaryota; Metazoa; Chordata; Actinopteri; Cypriniformes; Cyprinidae.
AGACGGAGUGUGUCUGUGUUACAGGCGUGUGGGUCCCGAGAGACGUCAAAGAUGCAAAUACACAACUCGGAGCCCAUCUUCACCAAGGCAUUGUCUUCAUUCCACUGUAAAGAGGAGUUCAUGGCUGCUUGCUGUGUCAUGGCAUUUCAACACCAUCAGAAAAUCAUUACAGAUCCAAGAGGAACAAAGAUAGACAUGUCAGAUAGAUGAUGAAAGGAACAGAUGGUGUGUAGUGGAUCUGAUGUCCGCUCCAGUGAGCCUGCUGUCAUAUCGCUUGCACCUUCUCAUAUCCGAUGGUAUUCGGACGUGUCGCCUGCACACCGGACCACGAUCACUGCCAGAGGAGUAACAGGGUGCAAAGUGCAUCUCAUCAGAAAUGUAUAAAAUAACACUAUACGCUGCUGAGUUUAAUCUUUUGGUGGGUAAGAUGGAUUCCUCUGAAUUAGCUUGAUGCUUGUUGCAUCAGUGGUGUGUAAAAUUAAAAAAAAAAAAAGGUGAUGAAAAGCAUUUUUGCGAAACUUUUGUGUCUUGCAGGCUCCAUUCUUGGCAAAUGAAUAGCAUGUUAGCUGUGGUUUUGUAGAGGUCCCUGAAGUGAAGUACUGUACUGUAUGUAGUUUCACUAUGGUAAAAUAGGCCUACUUUGUCCUAUUUAUUUUGUACAUGUAUCUUUCUCAAAAAAUGUUGACUUCUGACUAAAUCAUGAAGUUUUGAGAUCAGUUCUUUUGAAAUAUGAUAAACUUUAAAGAAACAUAUAUAUAUAUAUAUAUGUAUAUGUUCAUUUGAACUUUCUUAAAUUAUUUAAUUUAAAAUUGUACCUUUUAUAUAGGACAUAUUGAAUAUUUGAACUUAUAUUUAUCAAAAGAAGAUCAUUCUACAUUUAAAUCUGAAUUUGAAAGUAAACAACUUGGGAACAACAAUAAAAUUCAGCUAUUUAUGAAAAAAAAGUAAAAUAAUACACCAAGAAAACACCAAAACAACAAUCAAUAAAACUAUAAUCAUUUACAAGUGAUUUUAGGCAUCAUGACAUUUUAAUCUUCAGUAUGAAAAUGGAUAUUCAUUUUAAGAUAAUAAAUACUGUAUUUGUAAUUAGCAUGCGUGAUUAAAUAUCGGAUCAAUUAGAAUGAUACUGUUAUAUUAAAUAAGUUCUAUUAGCUGAUAACCACAACGAUAACAAUAUUUUGUGCAUCCCUACUCAAUAUUGUACACAUUGUAGGUUGUUUUGUCAGUUCUAUUGUGUGCAGCUGAUUUAUAGCAAUGUCAAUCCUCCAGAUCUGUUGUAAUGCACGAGACAGCUCGUCGUUACAUAUCUGCAUGCCAUGAAUCUGCAGCCUGUCCUUAAGCACUGAGAGACAGGGGGUCUGCUGAUCUGACAAUCACACACAAACACACACAUAUGCAUGAUAUCAAACAUGCUCCAAACUGGCAGAGGGAGAGCAGCCAGCAAUAAUAGCAACAGCUCUUCAAUUGUUCAGUCAAUUAAACAAUUCAAUCAUGUCCCACUGACUCGAUAGAUUUCAUUUCUGAUGAAAAGGGAUUAUUUCAACAUUUCGUUUGGUUGAGAUGUCUCUUGAGUGGACCUCAUGAUGACAGACCGAUGUGUGCAGUGGAGAUAAACAAAUGCAUUUGGCUGCUCAUGACCUCUUCAUGUCAAUUCACACAGCACACUGCUGGAUUUCAU